Cebus imitator (Panamanian white-faced capuchin) is the source of this 1056-nucleotide RNA transcript. It is a transcript of the gene named probable dimethyladenosine transferase, with no coding region annotated. The transcript has a single exon. The record is from RefSeq and is a predicted model, not a curated record. Lineage: Eukaryota; Metazoa; Chordata; Mammalia; Primates; Cebidae.
UUCCGUCGUGUGGGCCGGAAUGUUGCGGGCGGUGCUGGACUGUGAUUCCCACGUGGUGGCUUUCUCUCACUAGCCCACUUUGGUCCUCCUUGACGUCCUGGGCCUGUGGGCUCGCUUCCUGUCAAGAUGCCAAAGGUCAAGUCAGGGGCUGUGGGCCACCGCUGCGGGCGGCAGGAGCAGUACCGGCAGCUCAGGAGCACUGGAGGACUCAUGUUCAACACGGGAAUUGGGCAGCGCAUUUUGAAAAAUCCUCUCAUUGUUAACAGCAUUGUCGAUAAGGCUGCCUUAAGACCAACUGAUGUGGUGCUAGAAGUUGGACCUGGAACUGGCAACAUGACUGUAAAGUUGUUAGAAAAGGCAAAAAAGGUUGUUGCUUGUGAACUUGACCCAAGGCUAGUAGCUGAACUUCACAAAAAAGUUCAGGGCACACCUGUGGCCAGCAAACUUCAAGUACUGGUGGGUGAUGUGUUGAAAACAGAUUUGCCAUUCUUUGAUGCUCUGAUAAAUUUGCCUUAUCAGAUCUCUUCGCCUUUUGUCUUCAAGCUGUUGCUACAUCGACCUUUUUUCAGAUGUGCUAUACUUAGGUUUCAAAGAGAAUUUGCCCUCCGACUGGCUGCAAAACCUGGAGAUAAGUUAUACUGCAGACUCUCAAUACACAGCUGUUGGCACGUGUGGACCAUCUAAUGAAAGCUGGAAAGAAUAACUUCAGAACACCGCCCAAGGUGGAAUCCAGCGUUGUAAGGAGAGAACCUAAGAAUCCACCACCACCCAUCAAUUUUCAGGAAUGGGAUAGUAAGGAUAACCUUUGUUAGGAAAAACAAGACACUCUCUGCUGCAUUUAAAUCAAGUGCCGUGCAACAACUCUUGGAAAAAAACUAUAGAAUUCACUGUUUAGUCCAUAAUAUUAUAAUACCAGAAGAUUUCAGCAUAGCAGAUAAAAUACAGCAAAUCCUAAUCAGCACAGGCUUUAGUGACAAACGGGCCCAUUCCAUGGACAUAGAUGACUUCAUCAGAUUGCUACAUGGAUUCAACGCAGAAGAUAUUCAUUUUUCCUAG